AAGUUGGGGGACUGGACUUCGGGAGCCCUAGGGGCACGUAGUGGGUGGCAUAGGCUGGAGCAGGUGCCUGUGGGUGGGGGGACAGAGGACUCAGCUAGAUGACUGCACUGCGGGGUCUCUGAGCCGGUCUGAGUUCGCGGAGUCCUGGGGCCCCGUGGUGCGUUGGUUAGCGAUCACCGGGUGUGUGAGGCUCAAGGGGAGCGUCCAGGCCCCACGGGGGUGGCGAAAGGGACGCUUUCUUGAUUGCCCCACACACCCCCAGGGUUCCCUUUUCAACGGGAAGACCCAGGAGACCCUAGCCUAUCGGGCCGGGUUCUUGGGGGGAGGGGUGGCGGUCGCCCCUUCCCCCACCCCGGUUAAUUCCGGCCUCAGCUGCCUCUUCCGCCCUGGCGGUCCUGAUAACAGUGGACGUGGUGGGGCGGGGCCACCCGAUCUCUUCUCCCCACUCCCUCCUCUGGCCAGUGCAAUCGGGGCUCAACCUCCCAGCACUCUAGCUAUAAAAGAAGACCUACCUACCAUAGGGCUUAAUGGGGCGAUGGGAAAAACCAGUGAUCACAUUUUACAGAUGAGGAAACUGAGCCUGGAAGUCGGUAGGGUACCUAUAGCCAGAAAUAAUGAGUGGAGUAAUUCGGAGUGUCAAGAAGGAUGGGGAGUGGAAGAGCUCCCUGAGGAGGCUGCUGGUCCACAGGAAUGGAGUCAGGUGCUCAUCAUGGACCACCCCAGCAUGCGUAUCUUGUCUUCCUGCUGCAAAAUGUCAGAUAUCCUGGCUGAGGGCAUCACUAUUGUUGAAGACAUCAACAAACGGCGAGAGCCCAUCCCCAGCCUGGAGGCCAUUUAUUUGCUGAGUCCCACGGAGAAGUCAGUUCAGGCCCUAAUUGCAGACUUCCAGGGGACGCUGACUUUCACCUACAAAGCUGCGCAUGUCUUCUUCACUGACACCUGCCCUGAUUCCCUGUUCAGUGAGCUGAGCCGCUCUCGUCUGGCAAAGGUGGUGAAGACACUGAAAGAGAUUCACCUUGCUUUCCUCCCCUAUGAGGCCCAGGUGUUUUCCCUGGAUGCCCCCCACAGCACCUACAACCUUUACUGCCCCUUCCGGGCAGGAGAGCGGGCACAGCAGCUUGAGGUGCUGGCUCAGCAGAUCGCUACAUUGUGCGCCACACUGCAGGAGUACCCAGCUAUCCGCUACCGCAAGGGCCCAGAGGACACAGCCCAGCUGGCCCACUCAGUCUUGGCCAAGCUGAACGCCUUCAAAGCCGACAUUCCCAGUCUGGGCGAGGGCCCUGAGAAAACCCGUUCCCAGCUGCUGAUCAUAGACCGGGCAGCCGACCCUGUGUCCCCACUACUGCAUGAGCUCACAUUCCAGGCCAUGGCCUAUGACCUGCUGGACAUCGAGCAGGACACAUACAGGUACGAGACCACUGGGCUGAGCGAGGCGCGAGAGAAGGCUGUGCUGUUGGACGAGGACGAUGACCUGUGGGUGGAGCUCCGGCACAUGCACAUUGCAGAUGUGUCCAAGAGGGUCACGGAGCUCCUGAAGACCUUCUGCGAGAGCAAGAGGCUGACUACAGACAAGGCCAACAUCAAAGACUUGUCCCACAUCCUGAAAAAGAUGCCCCAGUACCAGAAGGAGCUGAACAAGUAUUCUACCCACCUGCACUUAGCAGAUGACUGCAUGAAGCACUUCAAGGGCUCUGUGGAGAAGCUGUGCGGUGUAGAACAGCGGCAGACUAGACAGCUGACCCCAUGCUCACAGGACCUGGCCCUGGGUGCUGACGCAGAGGGUGAGAAAAUCAAGGACGCCAUGAAGCUGAUUGUGCCGGUGUUGCUGGACGCAGCAGUGCCAGCCUAUGACAAGAUCCGGGUCCUGUUACUCUACAUCAUCCUACGAAAUGGUGUGACUGAGGAGAACUUGGCCAAGCUGAUCCAGCAUGCCAACGUCCAGGCACACAGCAGCCUCAUCCGAAACCUGGAGCAGCUGGGGGGCACUGUCACCAAUCCUGGGGGCUCAGGGACUUCCAGCCGCCUGGAGCGAAGGGAGCGCACAGACCCGACCUAUCAGCUGUCACGCUGGACACCCGUCAUCAAGGAUGUGAUGGAGGAGUCCUCCCCUGCAGCCCCUGACCUUCUGAGGACCUCAAAAUGGCAGCAUCAGAUGGAAACGCCUAGGGCUUAGCUUCCAGUCUGUCCUUGAUUCCUGGCACCUCCUCCACCCUGUGGGCCUUGGAUGCCUGCGUUCUUAGGGCCCUGAGGGGCUAGAACUCAGACUCUGGGGUCCAUUAGGGGCUAGGUGUCCACACUACUGGUUCCUCAGGGGGCAGAGGGUUCAGAUGGUAGUUCCUGUCUGCCAGGAACUGGGCCCUUGAACACCCUCAUGGAGGGGACUCUAGAUCCUGGGCCCCAUGGCUUGGGGCUCCUCCCCUAAACCUCCUUCUCUGGCCCCAGGAUGCUGUAGAGGACCGGCUGAACAGAAAGCUGUGGCCCUUUGUGUCUGACCCUGCCCCUAUACCCAGCUCCCAGGCUGCUGUCAGCGCUCGCUUUGGCCACUGGCAUAAGAACAAGGCCACUGUUGAGACCCGGGCGGGGCCCCGCCU
Molecule: RNA transcript, 2591 nt
Organism: Nycticebus coucang (slow loris)
Lineage: Eukaryota; Metazoa; Chordata; Mammalia; Primates; Lorisidae
Gene: STXBP2
Gene name: syntaxin binding protein 2
Exons: 19
Source: RefSeq, a predicted model, not a curated record